GAUAAUUUCAACUAUAAUUUAUAAAAUUACAGUUCGAUUAUUUUUUUAGUCUCGCAAUCAAAGUCUGUUAGUUUUUCUCAAGUCCACUAAGCAAAAUCUUUCCAACUAAGUCUCUAAGACUUAAUCAAUUUUACACGUCCUAUUUUAGGAUUAGACAGGCCUUAAUCUCCAAGUUUCUAUUUACAAGAAAUUUGUUACAAAGUCAUUAAUACAAUGGAUAAAGAAAUG
Molecule: long non-coding RNA, 228 nt
Filed under: Elaeis guineensis (African oil palm)
Lineage: Eukaryota; Viridiplantae; Streptophyta; Magnoliopsida; Arecales; Arecaceae
Description: long non-coding RNA (EGUI_LNC009015)
Source: RNAcentral